This 429-nucleotide ribosomal RNA is filed under the name Bacillota bacterium. RNAcentral describes it as "Firmicutes bacterium partial 16S ribosomal RNA". It matches the Rfam family "Bacterial small subunit ribosomal RNA", at positions 355 to 776 of the family's 1533-position model. Lineage: Bacteria; Bacillati; Bacillota. The record is from RNAcentral.
UAGGGAAUCUUCGGCAAUGGACGGAAGUCUGACCGAGCAACGCCGCGUGAGUGAAGAAGGUUUUCGGAUCGUAAAGCUCUGUUGUUAGAGAAGAACGUUGGUAGGAGUGGAAAAUCUACCAAGUGACGGUAACUAACCAGAAAGGGACGGCUAACUACGUGCCAGCAGCCGCGGUAAUACGUAGGUCCCGAGCGUUGUCCGGAUUUAUUGGGCGUAAAGCGAGCGCAGUCGGUUCUUUAAGUCUGAAGUUAAAGGCAGUGGCUUAACCAUUGUACGCUUUGGAAACUGGAGGACUUGAGUGCAGAAGGGGAGAGUGGAAUUCCAUGUGUAGCGGUGAAAUGCGUAGCUAUAUGGAGGAACACCGGUGGCGAAAGCGGCUCUCUGGUCUGUAACUGACGCUGAGGCUCGAAAGCGUGGGGAGCAAACAGG